GACAUCUCACCGAGUCGACUCAUACGACUCGGCAGUCGACCGAGCCAGGCAUCUUCCGUUUCAACGGCCGGUCCUCCUACGGCCCAUAGGCCCAUGAGUUCAACAACGUCCCCAUAGGGCAUCGUUUUGCCGCCAUUGCAAGGAUGGGUCGGGCUUCGAGUUUGCAGCUACAGCAAUGGCCGACACCAUGUCCGCCUUCACGACGUUAUCUCUUUUCCGGCUAUUUAUGUGUCGAUGAUCGUUAAAAGUGCCCUGUUUGUUCACAUCGGUGGAAGAUGUUGUUCUACCUGCAAGAUGUGCAACUUUAGCAUUUCAUAUGAGGUUUACAUCUUGAAUAUCAGCGCAACUUUUGUGGCAAAGUUAUUCGAAGUUGCUUUACAUAGACAAGAUGCAUUCAGAUUCUUUGAGCCGUCGCUCUCCGGGGGGUGGACAUGCCUCUCCUUUUGUAGUGCUCGUAAGUCAUCCAAACUUGCUUUAUACUCUCUUUUUUCUCUUUUGCCUGAUCUUGAAGUCAUCACACUCACAGUUUCUAAAGAACCACCUCUUUUUGUCAAAUGCUUUCAUGAUUAUGAUUACUUGCAUCACAAACACUUUCCAUUGACCAAAAACAUUAAUUCCAUGGUAACUUUGGCAACAUAGUCUAGAUGAAGUAUUGGUCAAGGAUUUAUGUCAUGUCCUAUAUUGAUACAUCAAUUUAAGAUCUUAUCAUGCAUCUUAUUGAUCUGUUGUGCUACAAUUAGAAUCCAAAAGCAAAUGGCAAUGU
This is a long non-coding RNA of Musa acuminata AAA Group (dessert banana), 763 nucleotides long. RefSeq lists it as uncharacterized. The record is from RefSeq and is a predicted model, not a curated record. Lineage: Eukaryota; Viridiplantae; Streptophyta; Magnoliopsida; Zingiberales; Musaceae. The transcript has 3 exons.